RNAcentral lists this ribosomal RNA (683 nucleotides) under uncultured Bacilli bacterium. RNAcentral's name for it is "bacterial SSU rRNA". It matches the Rfam family "Bacterial small subunit ribosomal RNA", at positions 75 to 741 of the family's 1533-position model. The record is from RNAcentral. Lineage: Bacteria; Bacillati; Bacillota; Bacilli.
GGAGCUUGCUCCCUUAGGUCAGCGGCGGACGGGUGAGUAACACGUGGGUAACCUGCCUGUAAGACUGGGAUAACUCCGGGAAACCGGGGCUAAUACCGGAUGCUUGAUUGAACCGCAUGGUUCCAAUCAUAAAAGGUGGCUUUCAGCUACCACUUACUGAUGGACCCGCGGCGCAUUAGCUAGUUGGUGAGGUAACGGCUCACCAAGGCGACGAUGCGUAGCCGACCUGAGAGGGUGAUCGGCCACACUGGGACUGAGACACGGCCCAGACUCCUACGGGAGGCAGCAGUAGGGAAUCUUCCGCAAUGGACGAAAGUCUGACGGAGCAACGCCGCGUGAGUGAUGAAGGUUUUCGGAUCGUAAAACUCUGUUGUUAGGGAAGAACAAGUACCGUUCGAAUAGGGCGGCACCUUGACGGUACCUAACCAGAAAGCCACGGCUAACUACGUGCCAGCAGCCGCGGUAAUACGUAGGUGGCAAGCGUUGUCCGGAAUUAUUGGGCGUAAAGCGCGCGCAGGCGGUUUCUUAAGUCUGAUGUGAAAGCCCCCGGCUCAACCGGGGAGGGUCAUUGGAAACUGGGGAACUUGAGUGCAGAAGAGGAGAGUGGAUUCCACGUGUAGCGGUGAAAUGCGUAGAGAUGUGGAGGAACACCAGUGGCGAAGGCGACUCUCUGGUCUGUAACU